UCUACAACUAGGCAAACGAAUAUUAUAUAGCAUCUUUAAUUUCUGUACAGUACAUUUCAACUUCUUAGCAAAAUAUUCAUUAUAUCACACAAUUGCUGUAAAUGUAUUUAUAAUUAUGUCGUAGAAGAAUUAUGUUUAGUUAAACCAUAAAGUUGUAGAAUAUUAAUAAUACUGAUUUCAAAAUAUCGUAGGUCAAGAAGUGAAAAAAUCUGGCAUGGAUCAUUUUUGUUACGAGCCCCUCAAUUAUCCAAUUAAUCCAGAAAUUGUUACAGAACACCAAGAUACCGUGCCAACAAUAACAACCAAAAAAUGCAAAUAAUUACUUGAAACUGCUGGUAGUAUUGCUGUUUACGUUUGGGUACCACAAUCCAGCAGCUUUGAUGAGCGUUUUUAAUUUAUUUCCGGUCUGAGCCCUGAGCUCAGAUUCUACUCCUGAUGCGGAUCCCCACUCAGCUAACUGCCGGAAGCCAUCAGUUGCGAUGUGGUCCUUAC
Bombus terrestris (buff-tailed bumblebee) is the source of this 492-nucleotide long non-coding RNA. RefSeq lists it as uncharacterized. The record is from RefSeq and is a predicted model, not a curated record. NCBI's taxonomy places the organism in Eukaryota, Metazoa, Arthropoda, Insecta, Hymenoptera, Apidae. The transcript is spliced from 2 exons.